RNAcentral lists this ribosomal RNA (360 nucleotides) under Gammaproteobacteria bacterium. RNAcentral's name for it is "bacterial SSU rRNA". It matches the Rfam family "Bacterial small subunit ribosomal RNA", at positions 1 to 360 of the family's 1533-position model. Lineage: Bacteria; Pseudomonadati; Pseudomonadota; Gammaproteobacteria. The record is from RNAcentral.
AAACUGAAGAGUUUGAUCCUGGCUCAGAUUGAACGCUGGCGGCAUGCCUAACACAUGCAAGUCGAACGGUAACAGCAGAGCUUGCUCUGGCUGACGAGUGGCGGACGGGUGAGUAAUGCAUAGGAAUCUGCCCAUGUAGUGGGGGAUAACCUGGGGAAACUCAGGCUAAUACCGCAUGAGCCCUACGGGGGAAAGCAGGGGAUCUUCGGACCUUGCGCUAUUGGAUGAGCCUAUGUCGGAUUAGCUUGUUGGUGGGGUAAAAGCCUACCAAGGCGACGAUCCGUAGCUGGUCUGAGAGGAUGAUCAGCCACACUGGGACUGAGACACGGCCCAGACUCCUACGGGAGGCAGCAGUGGGGA